This is a long non-coding RNA of Acanthopagrus latus (yellowfin seabream), 1077 nucleotides long. RefSeq lists it as uncharacterized. NCBI's taxonomy places the organism in Eukaryota, Metazoa, Chordata, Actinopteri, Spariformes, Sparidae. The record is from RefSeq and is a predicted model, not a curated record. The transcript is spliced from 3 exons.
CACGGAGCCUGACGACGAGAAGCGUUUGUGACAGAGGCCGUGAUGAGGGGCGAAGGGUCUCCGCCGUAUUUUGUGUGUGCAUUGAGCGUCCACACUGGGCCCGGUCAAUUGAUCCGAACGUGUUGGCCGUGCAGUGAAGCAGAUUAACAGACAUGCGACACAUAAGCGUUAGUGACCGGAGAGCGUAAUGGACGCACUGAUCAGACGCGAUCAACUUCCAGGACAUUUACUGUGAAAUUCGACACCAGGAGACAAAUCCUCCCUGAGUCCAACGUCCCACCCAGUCCUCUCCCUCCCGUCCUGCUUUCUCACUUCACCUCAGCCAGAGGGAAGGACACAAGCUUUCGGUGUCUGAAGUGCGAGCAAGGAGACUCAUCUCUCUGUCUUUGAGAAGAAGUCACUUACCAAGGACAUGCCACCCAUUUUCAAUUUUAAGGGAAUUCACUACCUGAAUAUUUAUAGUCACUCAUCGAUUCAGAUGUGGGUCUUGUCUUUUCAGGAGGGGCUAUGUAUUUCCAGUGAAGGAUGUUUUGUUAUGACUUUUGGAGUCCGAGGGUGCUUGUGCCAUCAUUUCAUUGGACAGUGAAGAUGUUUAGUUCAGGAUUUUGCAUUUCACCUAUAGUAGUACUACACUAGUAAGUAUACGUGCUCAGAGGGGGAGUGUCUAUCUACUGUAGGUGAGCUCUAGACAACACCUAGCUGAAGGAAAGAGUAAAACAUAAACAGUGUUAGCUGUGUGUGUGUUAUCUCAUCACAACACAUUUCUGAGGAUCUUGAAAGUGUUCUUUGUGUCGUUUGACAAAAUUAGUUGUAGAACAAUAACAGGUUUGGUCCACCAGCAUCACCAGGUCAUUUUCUAAGCACUGAAUAUUUUGAAUGUGAAAGCCCCUGUAAAGCUCAAUACAAAAUGUAAUACGUGACAAUGUGAUCUCGUCCUUGUACCACAGAGACUGUUGAAAUUGCGGGUCUAUAAAUUAACUCAGUGGGAGGAUGAGGAGGGGUCUGAUGGUCAGCGCUGAGAGGCGCAAUUUAUGGCUAGAAGAGACGAGUAGAGGAGAAUUAGAGUAGCGUUCAGGC